This 192-nucleotide unclassified non-coding RNA is filed under the name fungal sp. Its description in RNAcentral is "partial internal transcribed spacer region". The stretch from base 1 to 46 matches the Rfam family "Eukaryotic small subunit ribosomal RNA", at positions 1786 to 1831 of the family's 1831-position model. The record is from RNAcentral. Lineage: Eukaryota; Fungi.
AAGUCGUAACAAGGUUUCCGUAGGUGAACCUGCGGAAGGAUCAUUAAGGAAUUGUGUAUUGCCCUUGGUAUGUUUGCAAACAUACAAGGGCGUACCACACUUUCUGUGUCUACUUUUCACCCACCCUUAAUAUCAAGUCAUUAGAACAUUAUAAAGCUUAACCAACUUUUAACAAUGGAUCUCUUGGCUCUC